This 1238-nucleotide long non-coding RNA is filed under the name Strigops habroptila (Kakapo). Its description in RNAcentral is "lncRNA (ENSSHBG00005016227.1)". Lineage: Eukaryota; Metazoa; Chordata; Aves; Psittaciformes; Psittacidae. The record is from RNAcentral.
GCUCCAAUUCCGGCAUUCUUUGACAUAUGGCGUGUGUGUGCAGACGCAUACUGAUACAGCUAUUGUGUGCUGGCGCUUGUGACCAUGCACAUCUCUUUCUGCCCUGGGAGAGAUGCGCUUAUAGCUCUCAGAGAGAAUAAAGAAAAAAUAAUUAAUAAUAUAUAUAUAUAUGUAGGCACUGAUAUAAGGUCCUGGGGGUGUUUCAUGGCGGGGUGUGUGUGCGCCUGGUUUCCAAUCUACCCUUUUGUAAGGCUCACAAAACCGACAGGACUCUACAGCUGUCCAUAGGUACAUUUCCGCAGCCAAAAAAAUGCCACUUUUACAACUCUGUUUGUCUCCCUGCUAUGCGGGGCUGAAUAGGAGCGAACAAAACAGGACCCUAGAUCUGGCUAGACGUCUGGCUUUAAUUGCUUUAUGGUUUAAAUAAGGUGGGUGCUCUUCUCUUUGAAACCGGAUUAUUGGAAUGUUUUGUCUACAAGCUACAAACAACAGACCCCCCUCGGACAAGGGGAGGUAAAAAAAAAACCCACAGCAAAACCAAAAAAACCCACCCACAAAAAACACCGAAAAAGGAAAAUCAAACCCCAACGCGAAGCUAAAACUGAUAAAAACGGAGGUUGGGGGUGGGGGAUGUGGCACAUCUGGUGGGUUUGUUUGGUCCAGCGUGUGUGUGCUGUUUGAUUUGUCAUUUUUAUGGGUGAGGGGAAAAAAAAUAUAUAAAGGGGGGGAAAUGGCUUUUUUAACAUAUAUAUUAUAUAUAUAUUUGGCAGGAAAAAUCCUGCCCGCGCUCAGUGUUUCUAUAGGGGUGGCAGCACCGCGCUGCGUUACUAGAGCUCUCCCCCACCCCUAAAACCGCAGGUAAAGGAUUAUCGGUUAUAACGCACCGUGGGGGCCGGUGGGUGCACCCCCAGCCCCAGCCCCGCACCCGCAGCGCUGCGCCCAGGCGCGGCCGCGAGAUGGCGCUGUUGCCCAAUGAUAGCGCGGGACUGCGCGCAGCGGGGAGCGCCCCGCGGCUCCCCCGCACCCGCGGACGCGGCUCUGCUCCCGGGAAUGGAAGAAGGGGGCACGGAACUGCCUAACACCCCACGCUACACACACCCCGCACUGUGCUGACGCCCCCCAUAAAUAGCUGCUUCUUUAAUAUGUAUUUUUUUAUCCGCGGGGAGCGCGGAGCAGCGCUCAGGGCUGACAUCUGACGGCGCGGGGAGCGCAUAAAUGCAUAAAAAAUGCUUGCACAG